Molecule: long non-coding RNA, 599 nt
Filed under: Citrus sinensis (sweet orange)
Lineage: Eukaryota; Viridiplantae; Streptophyta; Magnoliopsida; Sapindales; Rutaceae
Description: long non-coding RNA (CSIN_LNC001868)
Source: RNAcentral
AUAUUUAUAAGCAGCGAGGGCCACGCCAUUCGUCGUCACUCUCACUUUCACUGCAGCUGGAGUACUCUACGGUGCCGAAGCUGUCUCUGCACUUCAGCUUCCUCCUGUGAGUAGUCUUCCCAUGGGAUCCAUGGUGUUUGCCAUAGUAGCCAGUAACAGCAGGAGCAGGGCCAUAGGUCCCAGUCAGGUUGGCGCCUGUGCCCACUCCAUAGUUGGAGUGAGAGGCUUGCUGAUAGCCAGUCAAUGGGGGCUUACCUGUGUUGUAGCUGUAGCCAAGAGCUGGGUUUGUGGUGUGGCCGUAAUACUGAGUCUGAUUCUGGGAUCCGGCCACUGCAGGUUUUGUGUAGUAGGAUUGGCUACCUGCCAUUCCAGCGGUCGUGUAUUGGCUUUCGGUAUAGCUACUGAAAGCUUGGCUUUCAUAUUCAUUCCCGUCUCUGUAACACUGGGCCAUGGCAACCUGGGGAAGUGUUUAAGAAGCUUAUGCUUUUUCUUGCGGUCUGUUUUUGAUUGCCUGGUUAUCAAGUCCGGUUUGGAAACACAUAUAUAUAGGCAACGUGCAAGUGGGAUUCCCUCACUUCAAUUAUAUCAUCUUUGUCCUU